GACGAACGCUGGCGGCGUGCUUAACGCAUGCAAGUCGAACGGAAAGGCCCUGCUUUUGUGGGGUGCUCGAGUGGCGAACGGGUGAGUAACACGUGAGUAACCUGCCCUUGACUUUGGGAUAACUUCAGGAAACUGGGGCUAAUACCGGAUAGGAGCUCCUGCUGCAUGGUGGGGGUUGGAAAGUUUCGGCGGUUGGGGAUGGACUCGCGGCUUAUCAGCUCGUUGGUGGGGUAGUGGCUUACCAAGGCUUUGACGGGUAGCCGGCCUGAGAGGGUGACCGGCCACAUUGGGACUGAGAUACGGCCCAGACUCCUACGGGAGGCAGCAGUGGGGAAUAUUGCACAAUGGGCGGAAGCCUGAUGCAGCAACGCCGCGUGCGGGAUGACGGCCUUCGGGUUGUAAACCGCUUUCGCCUGUGACGAAGCGUGAGUGACGGUAAUGGGUAAAGAAGCACCGGCUAACUACGUG
RNAcentral lists this ribosomal RNA (468 nucleotides) under uncultured bacterium. Its description in RNAcentral is "partial 16S ribosomal RNA". It matches the Rfam family "Bacterial small subunit ribosomal RNA", at positions 28 to 507 of the family's 1533-position model. The record is from RNAcentral.